Rhodamnia argentea is the source of this 467-nucleotide long non-coding RNA. RefSeq lists it as uncharacterized. The transcript has 2 exons. The record is from RefSeq and is a predicted model, not a curated record. NCBI's taxonomy places the organism in Eukaryota, Viridiplantae, Streptophyta, Magnoliopsida, Myrtales, Myrtaceae.
AAGGCCCAGAGCCAGAUAACUAAACGUGGGCCGCAACAAGGCCCAAAUAGGGAGCAUACAAGCCCAGGAAGCACUCGGCUAGGGUUUCCUAUAAAUGUGAAUCAUGUCGCAGGCGGCACUCUCAUAUCGAUCUGGGGUACUUGAACAGUAGCAGCCAAGGGCGGGGAGAGAAAGAGAGCUAGGGUUCUUGACGGCCUAGGAGCGAAGGAGCACAUCAACUUUUUACCAUGAGAGCGAAGUGGAAGAAGAAACGCAUGAGGAGGUUGAAGAGGAAGCGCCGAAAGAUGAGGCAGAGAUCCAAGUAAAACCCUCAGUCGGCGAUGAUAGAGACAUCGGAGUUUCUGGUUUUGUUGUGGGCUUUUGUUUUUUCUUUUGGGUUAAAGUUGAGAACUUUAAGAAUUAGUGUUGGAUGUUGAAUCUAAAUAUUUGGUAUUAUUCUCCGAAUCAAAUGCCUGCUUUGAAUCUCA